Molecule: transfer RNA, 77 nt
Filed under: Clostridiales bacterium
Lineage: Bacteria; Bacillati; Bacillota; Clostridia; Eubacteriales
Description: tRNA-Val
Rfam family: tRNA
About the family: Transfer RNA (tRNA) molecules are approximately 80 nucleotides in length. Their secondary structure includes four short double-helical elements and three loops (D, anti-codon, and T loops). Further hydrogen bonds mediate the characteristic L-shaped molecular structure. tRNAs have two regions of fundamental functional importance: the anti-codon, which is responsible for specific mRNA codon recognition, and the 3' end, to which the tRNAs corresponding amino acid is attached (by aminoacyl-tRNA synthetases). tRNAs cope with the degeneracy of the genetic code in two manners: having more than one tRNA (with a specific anti-codon) for a particular amino acid; and 'wobble' base-pairing, i.e. permitting non-standard base-pairing at the 3rd anti-codon position.
Source: RNAcentral
GGGGACGUAGCUCAGCUGGUUAGAGCGCUUCCUUGACAUGGAAGAGGUCAUAGGUUCAAGUCCUACCGCCCCCACCA